ACCAAGCAAGCGGCACCAUGAAGAUCAAGGAGCUCUCCAAACAGCACAUGGAUUCAUCAUGGAUUGGGCACAGGUCUCUGAUCGCGCUGGUGAACGGUAGCUGACAGUAAUUUUGCUGAGGUCUUCUCUGUUGCUAAUUAUCGAGAGCGAAUUACACGGAUAUCAAAACGUCACGCCAAGAUUUGAAUUACGCAAUUUCUAACAAUUGGUGACCUCCGAC
Molecule: long non-coding RNA, 220 nt
Organism: Coregonus clupeaformis (lake whitefish)
Lineage: Eukaryota; Metazoa; Chordata; Actinopteri; Salmoniformes; Salmonidae
Exons: 3
Source: RefSeq, a predicted model, not a curated record